GGACGAUAUGGGAGUGUAUGGUGAACUGACCCCUCAUUCUCCUCGCAAAAUUUUUUUCUUUUUCAAUUUUGUGCAUGAUGGUGCUAGGUACACUUUCAGGGCACGCACGCGUGCGGGGCAUCGUAGCUGGGACCUGAAGAUUACGCCGGUUGUCGCCCUGCUUCGGCAAGGAUUUUUGGUAGCACUGUAGCUGUGUUUUGAUGGAGGAGCGCGAUGUCUAAUGUCUAUCAUGAUGAACCCAACACGCAUCUCGACUCGCCAUCGUUGUGGCCGUUUGCAAUUUUAUGAUGUUUGGUUUGUAACAGGCUCGAAAGAGACGAAUGUUCUGAGUGUUCCCUUAUUUGUUCUUACAAAAGUUACGUCACUUUGGUGGUGGUGACCAUGAAUCACCCUUUCUUAUGGGUGUACGAGGUGUGCUCGAAACUGGACGAUGAUGAUUUCUCGUCCAUGACGGGAAUUCUGGGUGACCAAGACGUUGAAGUCUCACACAACGAGGAUAUCGAAAGAGGACAACAGUGCCCACAAUGUGCUUAUGAAAUGAUUGACUGCAAAAAAUGUUUAUGUUUUUAUAUGUAUCCUAUCUGUGUUAGUUCGCCAACUUUAAAGGAAAUCCAAUUGGGACCCUAUGCUUGACGAAGGUUUGCUAGUAAGGAUUAACGUGUAUACUCAUGGAGACCGCGAGUCGCUUGCGACCAGUCUUAGCGUCCGUGGAAGGAGGCCUCCUUCCCGGUGCGUGACAGAAAGGACAGAUAUGGAUCAUAUAGACCGAAAAUGGGAUGCGCAUUCACGUUUAUGAAAAUGAAAGAAAUAUUUUAGUAAGCGC
This 823-nucleotide long non-coding RNA is filed under the name Salvia miltiorrhiza (redroot sage). RNAcentral describes it as "long non-coding RNA (SMIL_LNC001592)". Lineage: Eukaryota; Viridiplantae; Streptophyta; Magnoliopsida; Lamiales; Lamiaceae. The record is from RNAcentral.